GAUGAACGCUGGCGGCGUGCCUAAUACAUGCAAGUCGAGCGAACAGACGAGGAGCUUGCUCCUCUGACGUUAGCGGCGGACGGGUGAGUAACACGUGGAUAACCUACCUAUAAGACUGGGAUAACUUCGGGAAACCGGAGCUAAUACCGGAUAAUAUAUUGAACCGCAUGGUUCAAUAGUGAAAGACGGUUUUGCUGUCACUUAUAGAUGGAUCCGCGCCGCAUUAGCUGGUUGGUACGGUAACGGCUUACCAAGGCAACGAUGCGUAGCCGACCUGAGAGGGUGAUCGGCCACACGGGAACUGGGACGCGGUCCAGACUCCUACGGGAGGCAGCAGUAGGGAAUCUUCCGCAAGGGGCGAAAGCCUGACGGAGCAACGCCGCGUGAGUGAUGAAGGUCUUCGGAUCGUAAAACUCUGUUAUUAGGGAAGAACAAAUGUGUAAGUAACUAUGCACGUCUGGACGGUACCUAAUCAGAAAGCCACGGCAAACUACGU
RNAcentral lists this ribosomal RNA (496 nucleotides) under uncultured bacterium. Its description in RNAcentral is "partial 16S ribosomal RNA". It matches the Rfam family "Bacterial small subunit ribosomal RNA", at positions 28 to 506 of the family's 1533-position model. The record is from RNAcentral.